GACGAACGCUGGCGGCGUGCCUAAUACAUGCAAGUAGAACGCACAGUUUAUACCGUAGCUUGCUACACCAUAGCCUGUGAGUUGCGAACGGGUGAGUCACGCGUAGGUACUCUGCCUUGUAGCGGGGGCUAACUAUUGUAAACGUUAGCUAAUACCGCAUAAUAUUAAUUAUUGCAUGAUAAUUCAUUGAAAGGUGCAAUUGAACCACUACCAGCUGGAUCUGCGUUGUAUUAGCUAGUAGGUGGGGUAACGGAUCACCUAGGGGACGAUACAUAGCCGACCUGAGAGGGUGAACGGCCAAACUGGGACUGAGACACGGCUCAGACUCCUACGGGAGGCAGCAGUAGGGAAACUUCGGCAAUGGACGAAAGUCUGACCGAGCAACGCCGCGUGAGUUAAGAAGGUUUUCGGAUCGGAAAGCUCUGUUGUAAGAGAAGAACGGGUGUGAGAGUGGAAAGUUCACACUGUGACGGUAUCUUACCAGAAAGCGACGGCUAACUACGUG
This 505-nucleotide ribosomal RNA is filed under the name uncultured bacterium. RNAcentral describes it as "partial 16S ribosomal RNA". It matches the Rfam family "Bacterial small subunit ribosomal RNA", at positions 28 to 507 of the family's 1533-position model. The record is from RNAcentral.